AGAUAUAGCAUAUUCUUCUGAAUAUACUUUAUUAACCCAUUCGAGUACCUUACCCGUUGCUUCCGCGAGGCUGUCCUCACGGCCCUCUGAAGAUUAUCUUUGGGGAGUCCUUGCGGAAGGUAUACAAUAAACUCUUGCAUUACCCAUGUCAUCUGUCUGAAUCUGUUUAAAGCAAAUAUUAA
RNAcentral lists this unclassified non-coding RNA (182 nucleotides) under soil metagenome. Its description in RNAcentral is "partial internal transcribed spacer 1". The record is from RNAcentral.